RNAcentral lists this ribosomal RNA (482 nucleotides) under uncultured bacterium. Its description in RNAcentral is "partial 16S ribosomal RNA". It matches the Rfam family "Bacterial small subunit ribosomal RNA", at positions 30 to 507 of the family's 1533-position model. The record is from RNAcentral.
AUUGAACGCUGGCGGCAUGCCUUACACAUGCAAGUCGAACGGUAACGGGCCUUCGGGUGCCGCCGAGUGGCGAACGGGUGCGUAAUACAUCGGAACGUGCCCGAUCGUGGGGGAUAACGAGGCGAAAGCUUUGCUAAUACCGCAUACGAUCUACGGAUGACAGCAGGGGACCGCAAGGCCUUGCGCGGACGGAGCGGCCGAUGGCAGAUUAGGUAGUUGGUGGGAUAAAAGCUUACCAAGCCGACGAUCUGUAGCUGGUCUGAGAGGAUGAUCAGCCACACUGGGACUGAGACACGGCCCAGACUCCUACGGGAGGCAGCAGUGGGGAAUUUUGGACAAUGGGCGCAAGCCUGAUCCAGCCAUGCCGCGUGCAGGAUGAAGGCCUUCGGGUUGUAAACUGCUUUUGUACGGAACGAAAAGCCUUCUUUUAAUACAGGAGGGUCAUGACGGUACCGUAAGAAUAAGCACCGGCUAACUACGUG